AGCCCCGCCUUCAGAUCUCUAGCCCUGGGCGUGGUCUUGGGGCUGGACACAGGUGGGCUGUCCUUGGUGUGUAAAGAGGGCGCAGGACUGCGGGCCCCCUCAGCCUUGCCCUGGUGAGCUCUUCCUGCAGCUCAGAGCCCCUCCAGGCUCCCACCGUGCUGAGUGGAGGCCCAGUUUCAGCAGCCUGCCUCGGGCCGCGACCCCCGGUGCCCAGAAGGGCUGAACCUGGUGCACGGCGCCCCGACAGCAUCCCUGCCCCCGGGGUCCUGCCUGCCGCUUGCCGCUCAGGGCUCAGGCGCACGCUGAUGUCAGGGCAGGUAAGGCCGGACUCGCCUCUGCCCCACACCCUGCUGGGCACGGCCACCGCGCGGCUCCCGCACGCAAGCCCAGCUGUGACCCACGGGGCCAGGCACUGGCAACGCUGCGCCCCUGGAAAACUCGAGCUGUCCUGGACUGGAGGCUUUUCAGAAAUGUUUCUGGGACCAAGGGAUGAGGUGUGGGCACACGCUUCGCCCGUCCACAUCCAAAGCUGCUAAUGAUUCUGCGCGGAGAGAAAACCACCAAUGGUUCCAAGAAGGAACAAGGCUGGUGGAGGAUGAGGCCCCCUCGGGCUCCGCAUGGUGUCAGCUGGCCCUCACCUGCAGAGGGACGUAGUUGAUGUUGAUGAACUGCACUGGGGUCCAGACUCGCCAGUUCAUGCGCAGCGCCGGCCAGAAGCUUCUUCUUAUCUGGACAGAGAGAGCAGCUGCGUCUCUCCCCUGGAAAGGAGGGGAGUGUGGACAGUCAAGAAUCGCUGUGCCCCGCAAAGAGCUAUCGCAAGCACUAUGGCAGCGACCAACCUCCAGGAAGUUCAUGACGAGGAGGAACAACAACAGGAAGGCCGGUGCAAAGAGGAGGCGGUCCAGGAGGAGCCUCUUGACCCCAGCCCAGGGGACCUCAGAAGGGAUCCAGUGCUCCAUGAAGAGGUAGAAGAAGUGACUCAGUGGCCCUGUGAAGAAGAACCUGAGGCCCCGCAGCGGGGGUGAGCAGGACUGCCAUUUCCUGGAUGUGUCCUUCUUGGGUCCAGCUUCACCCCCCAACCCCAGGUCCUAAGCCCUGCUCCCUGGGCCCCCCAUCCCUGACCACACAGGUAUGUGUGGUCCUUCUAGAAAACAGGCUUUCUUUGAAUCUGCUUCAAGCAUUGUCUUUUGUCCCUGAUAGACCAGAUCCCCCCUCAAUCUUCAUGCGGCCAGCUCCUUCUCAACACUGUCAGCUUGGAGACCUCCUGAUUGUUCUGGACAACGCACCAGCUGCUGUCUCAGCCACUCUCAAGUCCAGGUCCUGUUCCACUGCCUUCAUAGCAUUUAUCACUACAUGUCCUCAUCUCAUUUGUUUAGUCACGUGGUGCCCUCUUCGCCCUGCUACAGGUACGCGUCACAAGACGGAUUGUGUCUGUCUCAUCACUGCUGUGUCCACAGCGCCUAGAACGUGGCCUGGCUCAGAGGAGGUGCUCAGUAGUAAGACAGCUGUGGUGGCUGCAACCAGCGGGCUUCCGAAGACGAAGGGAUAUUUGUGAGUUUUAGAUCAAAAACAAAACACGACUUCAAAAUAAUCCAUCUAUACAAACACUAUUGUUGGCCAGAGAACGUGAUGUGGAUUUAAUUGGGUAAAACUCCUGAAUCUCUGUGUUCUUUGCAGUUCCAAAAGUGAUUCUGAAACUGGACAUUUUUCAGGAUUCCUAAGUAUUUAUUUUCUGGCUGUUUAAGCUAUGAAAAUAACAGAAACAACUGCAAUAUUUGAGUAGUUUUCCUCUUUCACGGUCUUUGUGUCUUGAAGUCUAAUUUAGGUUCAGGUGAAUUAUCUGCCCUCAGAUCUCUCGGCCCAAUGAGGACAGCCACCCCCACUCAUGUGAUUCAAAAUGAAAACAUAAAACAAGUUAAUGCUAUCCAUCAUUCUGACUUUUUCCCCAUGAUUACUUCAACACUUUUUAAAAAUUAUUUCUCAAAAUUAGGUUAUUUCAGAGACUUGGUCUUGAUACCCUAGCUUUGUCAUGGUUAGUCUGCUGCUGGUUAGAUCAGCCCCUUUGUGAAACUCACCCAUAAAUGGCGUAUCUGAGAGGCCCACUGACAUCUAGCUUUCGGGAGUUUUCUUUUUUCCGCUGCUUCGCCAUCAUCUGGGCCAGGAAGUUCCCAAGUGCUGACAAAAUGCCACUGUGGACAGAGAUGUCAUCAGAAAACGGGGGCAACCAGCAAGAGGGGGGCCAUUCCUGCAUGUACUUAGCGUGGCUGUUCUGAGAUCAUGGUGGGGUGGGUAGAGAGGAGUCCUUUUUAAAGCAGGUUUUUAGUUUUAAUUUUUUAUUUUAGAGAGAGCGCAAGUGGUGGAGAGGGGCAAAGGGAGAGAGAGAGAAUCCCAAGCAGGCUCCACACUCUGCACGGAGCCUGGCACAGGGCUCAAUCCCACGACCCUUGGGAUCAUGACCCGAGCUGAAAUCAAGAAUCUGACGCUCGACUGAGCCACCCAGGCGCCC
This is a long non-coding RNA of Acinonyx jubatus (cheetah), 2506 nucleotides long. RefSeq lists it as uncharacterized. The record is from RefSeq and is a predicted model, not a curated record. The transcript has 3 exons. NCBI's taxonomy places the organism in Eukaryota, Metazoa, Chordata, Mammalia, Carnivora, Felidae.